This 497-nucleotide ribosomal RNA is filed under the name uncultured bacterium. Its description in RNAcentral is "partial 16S ribosomal RNA". It matches the Rfam family "Bacterial small subunit ribosomal RNA", at positions 28 to 507 of the family's 1533-position model. The record is from RNAcentral.
GAUGAACGCUGGCGGCGUGCCUAAUACAUGCAAGUCGAGCGAACGGACGAGAAGCUUGCUUCUCUGAUGUUAGCGGCGGACGGGUGAGUAACACGUGGAUAACCUACCUAUAAGACUGGGAUAACUUCGGGAAACCGUAGCUAAUACCGGAUAAUAUUUUGAACCGCAUGGUUCAAAAGUGAAAGACGGUCUUGCUGUCACUUAUAGAUGGAUCCGCGCUGCAUUAGCUAGUUGGUAAGGUAACGGCUUACCAAGGCAACGAUGCAUAGCCGACCUGAGAGGGUGAUCGGCCACACGGGAACUGAGACACGGACCAGACGCCUACGGGAGGCAGCAGUAGGGAAUCUGCCGCAAUGGGCGAAAGCCUGACGGAGCAACGGCGCGUGAGUGAUGAAGGUCUUCGGAUCGUAAAACUCUGUUAUGAGGGAAGAACAUAUGUGUAAGUAACUGUGCACAUCUUGACGGUACCUAAUCAGAAAGCCACGGCUAACUACGUG